CCUACGGGAGGCAGCAGUGAGGAAUAUUGGUCAAUGGACGCAAGUCUGAACCAGCCAAGCCGCGUGAGGGAUGACGGUACUAAGAAUCGUAAACCUCUUUUGUCCGGGGGCAAAGACCGAUACGCGUCCCCGGAUGAGAGUACCUGAAGAAUAAGCAUCGGCUAACUCCGUGCCAGCAGCCGCGGUAAUACGGAGGAUGCGAGCGUUAUCCGGAUUUAUUGGGUUUAAAGGGUGCGCAGGCGGUCUGUUAAGUCAGCGGUCAAAGUCCGGGGCUCAACCCCGACCCGCCGUUGAAACUGGCAGACUAGAGUUGGAUAGAAGUAGGCGGAAU
Molecule: ribosomal RNA, 331 nt
Filed under: uncultured bacterium
Lineage: Bacteria
Description: partial 16S ribosomal RNA
Rfam family: Bacterial small subunit ribosomal RNA
Source: RNAcentral